This 441-nucleotide ribosomal RNA is filed under the name Diadocidia sp. Thailand DK-2014. RNAcentral's name for it is "eukaryotic LSU rRNA". Lineage: Eukaryota; Metazoa; Arthropoda; Insecta; Diptera; Diadocidiidae. The record is from RNAcentral.
GAACAUCGACAUUUUGAACGCAUAUUGCGGUCCAUACUGACUAGUUUCUUAAUCGAAGCUGUAUGGACCACACAUGGUUGAGGGUCGUUAGAUUAUGCUAACCAAAUUGCUUUUUAUUAAGCGAUAUGUUGAGGUGUUAUCAUACUUAAGUGCGAUGAUAUCCCUUGGAAAUACCAAUUUUAUUAUUGGUACACAAAUAUUAAAAAUAAAAUUUGUGAAUGCCAUAUAAUCAAAGUAAAUUAUAGAAUUUUAAACUUUAAAAAUUAGUAAACUUUGAUUUAAAGCGUUUAUAUAUAAUAUAUGCACGCAUAUCAAAUAAAAAAGUUGAAAAUUUUUAUCUUUGAAUAUUGAAAAUAUAAUAAUUUAUUUUAUAUGUUUUGCAUUUACAUUUAAUAUUUGAUUUGAAUUUAACAUAAAAGCGACCUCAACUCAUGUGAGACU